Molecule: long non-coding RNA, 447 nt
Organism: Herpailurus yagouaroundi (jaguarundi)
Lineage: Eukaryota; Metazoa; Chordata; Mammalia; Carnivora; Felidae
Exons: 3
Source: RefSeq, a predicted model, not a curated record
AACACAGUCAGGUCGGUCUGAGCUCACGUAACCACAGUGUUUCCGGGUGCCCCCGCGCAGCCACAGCUUCGGUACCGGGCUUCAGACGCCAUCCGUGAAUUUGGUGACACAAUUCAGUCAUAAAGCCACGGAGGCAAGUGAUAGCCGGGAAAGGUCAGCCAUGGUGCAGACAGAAGCAUCCAGGACACGACUCUGUCGCUGCUGCACAGCCAGAAGUUAAAACAGCGGGGAUUGCAUGGACAGAAACUACUUUAUUUACUCACCUCGGCUCUGUGCCAUCGAACACGGAAGAAACCACCCGUCCCCUCCUUUCUGAGAUUGUUCCUGUGGCCCGAAAACCAACCAUCAAAAUUGCGGCCCUACUCAGAUGUCUAUAGACAUCACCCUGCAGAUGACACCAACCAGGAUUAUCACAGGACACGACAUUUAUCAGAGGACACGACUGUG